This is a long non-coding RNA of Lingula anatina, 225 nucleotides long. The record is from RefSeq and is a predicted model, not a curated record. NCBI's taxonomy places the organism in Eukaryota, Metazoa, Brachiopoda, Lingulata, Lingulida, Lingulidae.
GUAGGUUUCUCGUACUCUACUGCUCAAAUGGUUUGAUAGGAGAUCGCAUCUGCGGAGAGAAGCUGCUGUUGGCUAAAUCAGAAUGAAGCCAUUAUCAAUGGGCUUGCAUGAGCAGAGCCUCAAGUUCAACACAUUGUUUGCCAAGCGGUUCUUGAAGUUGUUGAGAAUAAUGUAUCCUAAAUGGACCAGUGUUACAGUAUUAUUGACCAUAACCCUGUUGCUGUU